RNAcentral lists this ribosomal RNA (1240 nucleotides) under metagenome. RNAcentral's name for it is "bacterial LSU rRNA". It matches the Rfam family "Bacterial large subunit ribosomal RNA", at positions 1564 to 2813 of the family's 2925-position model. The record is from RNAcentral.
CGAGUCCGAGGAGCUAAGGCUCCAAAGUGAUGCGAGUCAGACUUCCCAGAAAAGCCCGAACCACGUUAAUCUCUAAUUACCUGUACCCGAAACCGACACAGGUGGGUAGGUAGAGUAUACUAAGGGGCGCGAGAUAACUCUCUCUAAGGAACUCGGCAAAAUGACUCCGUAACUUCGGGAGAAGGAGUGCCUUAUUUAUAAGGUUGCAAUAACAAGAUCCAAGCAACUGUUUAUCAAAAACACAGGUCUCCGCUAAGUCGUAAGACGAUGUAUGGGGGCUGACGCCUGCCCAGUGCCAGAAGGUUAAAGAAGUUGGUUAGUGUAUGCGAAGCUGAUGACUGAAGCCCUGGUGAACGGCGGCCGUAACAAUAACGGUCCUAAGGUGGCGAAAUUCCUUGUCGGGUAAGUUCCGACCCGCACGAAAGGCGUAAUGAUUUGGAUACUGUCUCGGAGAGAGGCUCGGUGAAAUAGACUUGUCUGUGAAGAUGCGGACUACCUGCACCAGGACAGAAAGACCCUAUGAAGCUUUACUGUAACUUGAAAUUGGAAUUGGACUUUGCUUGCGCAGUAUAGGUGGGAAGCGUUGAAAAUAUUCUUGCGGGAGUAUUGGAGCUAUCAGUGAGAUACCACUCUUGUAAUGUUAGAUUUCUAACUUUGAACCAUAAUCUGGUCAAAGAACAGUUUCAGGUGGGCAGUUUGACUGGGGCGGUCGCCUCCCAAAUGGUAACGGAGGCGUACAAAGGUUUCCUCUGAACGGAUAGAAAUCGUAUCUAGAGUGUAAAGGCAUAAGGAAGCUUGACUGUGAGACCUACAAGUCGAGCAGGGACGAAAGUCGGUCUUAGUGAUCUGACGGUACUGAGUGGAAAGGCCGUCACUCAACGGAUAAAAGUUACUCUAGGAUAACAGGCUGAUCUCCCCCAAGAGUUCACAUCGACGGGGAGGUUUGGCACCUCGAUGUCGGCUCAUCGCAUCCUGGGGCGGUAGUACGUCCCAAGGGUUGGGCUGUUCGCCCAUGAAAGCGGUACGCGAGCUGGGUUCAGAACGUCGUGAGACAGUUCGGUCCAUAUCCGGUGUAGGCGCUAGAAUAUUGAGAGGAGCCUUCUUUAGUACGAGAGGACCGAGAAGGACACACCGCUGGUGUACCAGUUAUCGUGCCAACGGUAAACGCUGGGUAGCUAUGUGUGGAGUGGAUAACCGCUGAAAGCAUCUAAGUGGGAAGCCCACCUCGAGAUGAGUAUUC